RNAcentral lists this non-coding RNA (65 nucleotides) under unclassified sequences. The record is from RNAcentral.
CGAAAACAGAGUGGCAGGGUGGUGUCUCCUGCGUCCGUCCUUUGACGGAUUCUGCUUAGUCCUCG